This 453-nucleotide long non-coding RNA is filed under the name Pandoravirus dulcis. Its description in RNAcentral is "putative ncRNA". The record is from RNAcentral.
UGCUCGGCGACGGCACGCUCGUCCGACCGAUCGGCGUCGACCGUUGGCGGCCUCGCCACGGCCUUGAGCGGGUCGAUGCGCUUGUGCGGUGGACCUCUCAGUUGCUGGCGCGGCCGCCGGCGGCGCACGCGACCCACAUAGACGCCCUCGUCUUCCUCUUGUUGCUGUUGUUGCCCCUUGCACCCACCGCUGCCGUCAUUGUUUUUGCUGUUGCUGUUGCUGUUGUUGUUGGUGUGGUCGCCAUGGUUGUCGUUGGGGUUGCGGUCGUCGACAGGCGCCUUUUGUUCUUGUGGCACCCGAGUCCUGGCGUCGCUCCUCGCGCUCGACACAGACGACGACGUCGGCGGUCCCGUUGCAGGGACGAUAGGACGUCCUACACGGCGCCGUGCGGCCGUCGUUGUCUUGGCGUCCCUCGUCGACACGGCGGCGACCGGACGCCGCUGUGGUCGCGAC